GCCUGGAUGGCUCAGUCGGUUGAGUGUCUGACUUAGGCUCAGGUCAUGAUCUCCUGGUUUGUGAGUUCCAGCCCCACAUCAGGUU
This 85-nucleotide transfer RNA is filed under the name Felis catus (domestic cat). It matches the Rfam family "tRNA". Rfam says of the family: Transfer RNA (tRNA) molecules are approximately 80 nucleotides in length. Their secondary structure includes four short double-helical elements and three loops (D, anti-codon, and T loops). The record is from Rfam by way of RNAcentral. Lineage: Eukaryota; Metazoa; Chordata; Mammalia; Carnivora; Felidae. RNAcentral also lists the same sequence under 2 other names.